Molecule: non-coding RNA, 307 nt
Organism: Camelina sativa (false flax)
Lineage: Eukaryota; Viridiplantae; Streptophyta; Magnoliopsida; Brassicales; Brassicaceae
Source: RefSeq, a predicted model, not a curated record
GGAUAUUGAACCCACAAAGAAGCUGCUUAACCCACUACAUGAUUGAAGUCUUGAUGUGCACAGAGCAAUGGAUGAAAUGUGAGAUUCAUGUCAAUGAAAAAGGAGUGAUAACAAUCCAACAAUUGCUUGCGGAUGUGGAGUUGCAAGAUGAGCUCAUGCGAGAGUUUGAUCCUGAGUUCAACUUGCAAGGACUGUAGAGUACUAGAAGUAUGAAAUGAAUUCAACUCGCAAGGAGCCAAGCCAAGGAGGCAAGGACGGUUACGGUUUCAAGUAGCAUUCAAGUUUCAAGUUUGAUCUUUGUCUCUUU